Molecule: ribosomal RNA, 497 nt
Filed under: uncultured bacterium
Lineage: Bacteria
Description: partial 16S ribosomal RNA
Rfam family: Bacterial small subunit ribosomal RNA
Source: RNAcentral
GAUGAACGCUGGCGGCGUGCCUAAUACAUGCAAGUCGAGCGAACAGACGAGGAGCUUGCUCCUCUGACGUUAGCGGCGGACGGGUGAGUAACACGUGGAUAACCUACCUAUAAGACUGGGAUAACUUCGGGAAACCGGAGCUAAUACCGGAUAAUAUAUUGAACCGCAUGGUUCAAUAGUGAAAGACGGUUUUGCUGUCACUUAUAGAUGGAUCCGCGCCGCAUUAGCUAGUUGGUAAGGUAACGGCUUACCAAGGCAGCGCUGCGUAGCCGACCUGAGAGGGGGGGCGGCCACACGGGAACUGGGACGCGGUCCAGACUCCUGCGGGAGGCAGCAGUAGGGAAUGUUCCGCAAUGGGCGAAAGCCUGGCGGAGCAACGCCGCGUGAGUGAUGGAGGUCUUCGGAUCGUAAAACUCUGUUAUUAGGGAAGAACAAAUGUGUAAGUAACUAUGCACGUCUUGACGGUACCUAAUCAGAAAGCCACGGCUAACUACGUG